This is a long non-coding RNA of Lagopus leucura (white-tailed ptarmigan), 212 nucleotides long. RefSeq lists it as uncharacterized. The transcript has 3 exons. The record is from RefSeq and is a predicted model, not a curated record. NCBI's taxonomy places the organism in Eukaryota, Metazoa, Chordata, Aves, Galliformes, Phasianidae.
CAGCCCUGUUCUCACCAGGUACAUUUUGUGUCGUCAAGACCAGAAGCUUCAGGAAUAAGAAUAUCUGGGCAUUCACCAGGGUUUGAGUGUCCAUUUUCCUGUGGCCUUACUUCAGAAGUGCUGAGUUCCUACUGAUCUCACUUUACUGAGGGCUACAAUUUGAUCAGUGCUGUUCCAGUUCUAUGCAUAAGACAACAGUAUUUUGAAAUGAG